CACGAUGAUGAGCGGCAACGCAGAGGUGAACGCCAAGACGCGCACGUACACCAACAGGAGAAACGCCCAUGCGCACAUAAAGGGACUGACUCUCGCAUACUGGCUAGGCCGAGUGCCGGGAGGCAUCACCGGCAUCCGUCUGCGCGCGGUGCGCGGCACAGGCGGUGCGGCACGCGCCCGCAUGCCCUCAGGUCUCCUGCUGCUCUGAUUGCCUGCGCGCCUGGAGCGCUGGUGGCGGCGGCGCACAUUCGAUGGUGCCGUCCCCCCCCCCUCCCCUACCGGCCAGCGCCGUCACCGGGCCUAAGGCACGGCGCGGUUGUCAAGCCGAUGGACAGUGCGACCUAGCCGCUGGUGACGGGCACUGGCGAAGGGGGAGCUCUGCGUGGCACCUGAGGGCAUUGUGGCGCGGGGGCCGCCGAGGAAGCUGCACCACAGCGCGAGGCUGCUGGAGCGCGUGAGCCGCGUUGCGCGCGCGCUUGUGGUGCGUUGCGUCCUCGCGACGGCCGGCGGGGGGCCCUCGCCGUGAAGCGCAAGGACGAGGAGGAGGCGGUGGUGCGCAGUGUGCCUGCGCUGGUGGUGCCGUCGCAUCCCCGCAUCGUCGCCUUCAGCGGUGGCGCUGGCGUGUGCGGCCGUUGUCUGUGCCAUCUCGCCAUGGAGGGGUGCCCACUGCGUCGCUCAGCAUGGCGACCGCUGGGCUGCGGCGCCUCGACUUGUGCAUGACUGCCGUGUUCAGCCGCGAGCAGGCGUUCGCCCACACGCAGCACACCAUCGACGCUGCUAGCCUCCACCACUUGGUCGGCAUCUCACGGCAACGACGUGGGCGAGCUGUUUGCCGCCGUGCAUCAAGGCCGCGUGUGGGCGGCAAGGUGUACGAAUGGGAAACUGUUGAAGGCAGCGCGGCAGCUGCAGGAGACGUGUGCCGGCCGCGCGCAGCUUCGUUCCGCUCCGCUGCGCAUUUCCCCGGUGCUGGUGGCGGUGGACGCGCGGGGAGAUGAGGAGGUGAUGGGGAAGGGCGGGUGGUGGAUCUGUGCGAGCGCGUGGGUGUCGGGGUGGAGGGGAGUGUGCACUGAUGGAGGGGCACCCUCACGUGCUGCGACCGGCACCCCCGCCCUCCUCGCCCCAUCGCGCGCACACCGGGGGGCGGGGUCGCUGCUGCUCACAUCCCCUGCUCUCUGGCGAUCCUCCUCAUUGUUGUGGUGCAGGGCUGCCGCGGUGCGGUGUCCGUGUGUUUUCCGUCGGUCUGCGCCCGGCGUGUCUCUCCCUGUGGUCCUGCAAUGAGCGGGAUGCGCGGUGACGGCGCGGCGCCGGUGGUGUCGGCGGAUUGUCGCGGCGGUGCCGCCUGUGAGGGCCGCGACGAUGGCGGUGUGUUUGUGUGCUGCUGUCUCCUCCCACGGUGCUGUGAUCGAUGUGUCUUCUGCUGUCGGGGCCUAGGGAGGGGGGGCGGCAGGCAGCGCCAUCUGCCCUCCCCGCUUGGUCGCCGUCUCUCGCGCCUCUGCCUCUCUCCCUCGCUGCCGUUGCGGCGCGCCGCACAUCCACCGGGCUCCCGUCCUGAUCCUUCUCGCUUGUGUGCAUGUCAUC
RNAcentral lists this unclassified non-coding RNA (1578 nucleotides) under Leishmania donovani. RNAcentral's name for it is "gene:unknown". The record is from RNAcentral. Lineage: Eukaryota; Euglenozoa; Kinetoplastea; Trypanosomatida; Trypanosomatidae.